This 70-nucleotide transfer RNA is filed under the name Dipodomys ordii (Ord's kangaroo rat). It matches the Rfam family "tRNA". From Rfam's summary of the family: Transfer RNA (tRNA) molecules are approximately 80 nucleotides in length. Their secondary structure includes four short double-helical elements and three loops (D, anti-codon, and T loops). Lineage: Eukaryota; Metazoa; Chordata; Mammalia; Rodentia; Heteromyidae. The record is from Rfam by way of RNAcentral.
GGGAAUGUGGCUUAGUGGUAGAGUACUUGUCUAGCAUGCAGGAAGCCCUGGAUUCAAUUCCCCAGUACCA